UUUUAUAAUAUAUAUAUAAAACUGUUAGAGCAUGUUCAUAGGUAAUACUCACAAAGUAUCAUUAAAAAUUUUUUUAGUAUUAUUUAUAAUAUUUGUUU
Molecule: small RNA, 98 nt
Filed under: Arabidopsis thaliana (thale cress)
Lineage: Eukaryota; Viridiplantae; Streptophyta; Magnoliopsida; Brassicales; Brassicaceae
Description: ATSL121870
Source: RNAcentral